AUACUUACCUGGACGGGAUCAAUGGGCGAUCAAUAAGACCCAUGGCCUAGGCUAGUGACCUCCAUUGCACUUUGGAGGGGUGCUAGCCUAAGGUCGACCCAAGUGGUCGAGCCUACGUCAUAAUUUGUGGUAGUGGGGCCUGUGUUCGCGCGGCCCCUAU
This 160-nucleotide small nuclear RNA is filed under the name Nicotiana sylvestris (wood tobacco). Its description in RNAcentral is "U1 spliceosomal RNA". It matches the Rfam family "U1 spliceosomal RNA". Rfam says of the family: U1 is a small nuclear RNA (snRNA) component of the spliceosome (involved in pre-mRNA splicing). Lineage: Eukaryota; Viridiplantae; Streptophyta; Magnoliopsida; Solanales; Solanaceae. The record is from Rfam by way of RNAcentral.